Small nucleolar RNA from Dioscorea cayenensis subsp. rotundata (Guinea yam), 109 nucleotides. Lineage: Eukaryota; Viridiplantae; Streptophyta; Magnoliopsida; Dioscoreales; Dioscoreaceae. The record is from RefSeq and is a predicted model, not a curated record.
AUUUCAUGUUGUGGGCAUUUCCUCGAUAUUUCCUUGUACCUCUCCCAAGUGUCAUACAAGGUUUCAGACUCCAAUUGUAGGAAGAAGGAGAUAUCACUCCUUGGUGAUU